GGCAUUGUGGCUCAGUGGUAGAGUGCUUGCCUAGCAUGCAUGAGGCACUAGGUUUGUUCCCUGGCACCA
RNAcentral lists this transfer RNA (69 nucleotides) under Marmota marmota marmota (Alpine marmot). It matches the Rfam family "tRNA". From Rfam's summary of the family: Transfer RNA (tRNA) molecules are approximately 80 nucleotides in length. Their secondary structure includes four short double-helical elements and three loops (D, anti-codon, and T loops). RNAcentral also lists the same sequence under 1 other name. Lineage: Eukaryota; Metazoa; Chordata; Mammalia; Rodentia; Sciuridae. The record is from Rfam by way of RNAcentral.